CUCAAAACACUUCAAAAUCCAAGUGUCAGUUCUUCUUCAUGCUUUUCAAGCCUUCUCUUCUGGCCUUAGAAGUCCUCAUCUAAACUGAGUAAGUCUCCUUUCCUUAGCUUUUCAAUUACAAGUAGUUACAUAGUCUAAUUUAGUCGAAUGUCAACAAUUUUUAGCAGUUUUACUUUUCUAUUUAACCUUCGGUUCUAACCACUUUGGUCAACCAAAUUUAAAUUAAACUCAACCAAAUCAUCUUCAUAAUGUAGAGGUUCAAAAACCUUACAUCCAUCUAAAUGGGUCAAAAUGAUAAGUUAAACCUGAAACUCUAAAAAGUCAAACUCAGCUUUUUGUAAUUAUCGACAAAUGAACUUUUAAGCAUUAUAAUCUAAAGUUUUGAGACCAAAAUAGUUUGUACAACACCACAAAAAUAUGUUCUAACAUAUUUGACUUAUCACGGACCCAUUUACCGCACGAACCCGUAUUUACGAAAAUGACUUGUUAAAAUGGCAUAAACCAUAUAAAAAAGUCGUAAUGGGUCAAAACCUUUUCAAAACACUUUCAAAUCAGAAUGUAAGGGUAUUUAACUGUAACAUACGAGGUCCUUCACUCGUAUGGUUAUAAACCACAUUCUAUCUGGUCAACGCUUAAUCUAGCAGAAUCGUGCUCAAAUCUAUGUAAACCGGUCAAGUCCAAAGGACACAUAAUACCCCGUAAACUAUUCUCAUGGAUAAUAUUUCCAUUCAUUUUGAACUUGGGAUAUGGUACAAAACCACUUGGUUCAGGUAUUACAGUGGGCAUAUGCUUUCAGAAUGUUGAUAAUCUGAUUUUAAUCAGUAUUUCUUGAUUAACAUAAAGCAUUUGGGGGUUAAUAGUACCGUAUCUAGGAGUCUGGAUUCAAAUACUGUAAUGGCCAUUAAGUGCAGGGUGUAGGCAUACACCUGACACCACAAUAUAUAUGGUGUGUAUAUUAAUCAAAAGCCGGUUUUUGACACUGGAUCCCGAAUGUGACAAGCAUGUAAAUCUGGUAACAAGAUUAUUAUCCUACAUCCGGGCCCACCAAGAAAUCAGGGUGUGACAUAUAAGACGUAUCUCUGAGAUUUAUUAUACCAAAGUAUGUGUGAACAAUGCUUUGACUUAUGUAACAUACACAUGUUAAAAGAAUGUCAUCGAUAUUAGGAUAAGUUUACAUUAGUUACUCCUACUCAUCUUAAGGUAGGUACAUUAAUCCAAUUGAUUCUUGAUGAAAAGAAUUGCAUAAAGUUUUCAUCACAUUUUGAUGUUUACUUUAACUCAUACAUGGAUUUUAUUGACUUCCAGAUUAAGUGUUCAGUGACCUUCAUUUAACUUUCGGGUUGUUUUAUGAACAUGUAACUCUUUGUUAGGGAAAGUUGUUUAAUUGUUCAUCUAAUGUAGCUCUAAAUUAUUGUAAGCUACUAGAUCAACCAAAUCCCAAACGUAAACAUUAUUCAGACACAUAAAAUCAAUUUUGCUAAAAUAAUAGUUUUAUUACAUAGAAUAUUAUUGUUACUAAUGGCUUAACUAGAAGAGGUAGGAUCUGUAAACUUUCCAACAACCAUUUCAACUUCAGUUAGGGAGGAUACAUAAUCAUCAAAGUUAGUAGGCUUUUAAACUUAGAUAACCUUUUGAGUUGAUUAUUUGGUUUUAUUAAGAGUUUCAGUUGUAUGAAUUGGUUAGGGGGCUAUCACUUUCAAGUAUAUUAGGAGCAACAUUAGAUUCUAGAUGUGUAAGAGUCGGUGUAGUAUGAUGUGCAAGAGGUGUAAUCGAAGUUAUUCGGAGUAAGACUUAAUGAGUCUCUCACCCCCAUCUCUUGUACUUCCAGCAAGUCAUGAUAAAGACUUUGCUGCUCCCACUGACCUUAGAAGUCUUUAAAAAUUAAGCAUGCUUAAGGUCAACAUUUAGAAGACCAACAUCUUUCAAAAGAGAAACAAGUUAAUGAUGUUACUCAUUUUAGUUACUUUUGUUGUAGGAUUAGUUUAGUUUUGGUAAGAAAUCUGAGUGUGCCAACGUUUAAGCAACAAUGAAACUUUUGUAAGAGUAGCAUUAUAUUUUGAGGAGACAAGUUGUGAUGGAGCAGUGUCUUGUACAAGAGGUGUAAAUUGAGGUAAUAUCGAGUUUUCACUUCGCUGCCUCUUGUAACUCUUUCAAGUUAUAAUUAAGACACCUAUUGCUCCUACUAACCUUUUAGAUCUUUAGGAAAGCUACAAGAUAACUUUCAAUGAUGUACGUGACGUGGGAACUUGUUAUAUAUGUUAGACUAGAUUCCCUUAAUGUCCAGAUGUUAUAAGAAACUUUUGGGACAUAUUUAGAAGGAGUUCUAGUAUCUAUGAAUUGAUAUCCUUAAGACCUUGACACAUAGGAGACAUAUUAGGUAUAAGUAAUUAUUCUUUGAAAUGAUAAAUGAAUUAUGUCUGAAUAUUUCAUUUAGGAUAAGCUCAAAUGAAUUAUAGAUUCUGGUGGAACCUGAUUUAUUCCCUUACCCAGUUAAAUAUUAGGGCAAUUAACAAAUGUUUGAAAGUCAAUAAGAAUGAUAUUUAAUAAAAUCCAUCCUGCAUCAACCUGGUCAAGAUUUGUCAUGAACUUUUGUUUCAAUGUAUAGUAUCAUCUAGUUCUAUCUUAUAAGGUUUUUAUUCAUAUACUGAUAACAAAUAAUUUGAGAGUUUAAGGUAAGUGUGAUUUUGUUUUAGCCAUGUAAACCUCACAAAUGUCAUAAUGUAGCUUUAGUAUUGGUAUUAAAUUUUGAGUAAUAUCCAGAAUAUGUAAGGUAUCAUGAAACCCACUUACAAAACAAUUUAUUAUGUUGCUUAGAGCCUUAACAUAAAAUUUGCACUAACUCUCAUCUUAAUUAUUUGUUGAUUUAUGGUAAGGUAACAUAUAAAACUAGACUCUAACCCUUUAUGUGUUAAUUGGAAUAUCAUCGUUAGCAUACUUAGAUAUAAUUAAUGUGCGACUACCUAUCUUAGCCAGUUGUCCUUUAAAUAAUGGAUAGUCUCAUUGCUUGUGCCUAUUCAAAUGGCAUAACUUUGCAGAGAGAUUUUCCUUUGAAGAAACUUAGAGUUGGAAGUAGUCUUGUAUUCUAUCUCCAGAUCUUUGAAGUAUAACCUUUUUAGGUUUAGUGGUGGUGAGUGAAUAACAUCUUAUUUUCCAGUUUCAGACGUUCAUUUUCAUGUACGUAUGUAUGUUGCUGAUUAACACACUCAUUUUCCCGUGGUACUUCUGAAUGUUAUAGUUGAUUCUUAAGGCAUCGAAUUCGUACCGCUGAAAAAGUUAGCAUGUAACACAUUGAAAAAGUGUAUUGAUUUCCAUGUGUAAGAGCAUUAACAACGGAUCCCCUAUAUAUUUGUGAGUGCAUUACUUAUAUUAUAAGAGAUGGUUGUGAGUGGUUUUGAGUACUUGUGAGUAGAGGAGAGAUAAAAUGUUACCGUUCAUCUGUAAACAUACGGAAACAUUGUUCACCCCUAAAAUUUCUUAAUAUAUUUGAAAGUGGUUGUGAGUGUAGGUGAGAGAAAAGGUAAUGAUAAAGAUAUAAAAAAAUAUAUUAUUUGAUUGAAAAGUAAAGAGAAAAAGUAGUGAUUUUUUAAUGUAAUUAUAGAAAUAUGGAUAUGGGUCUGAAUGUGAAUACUUUAAGCCCUUAAUUUUAUGGGCCAUGUUAGAAUUUAGAGUGAAUGCAUGCAUUUUAGGAGUUCCUUUUGAUUCUUCCAAAGAAAAGAGUUUAGUAUUAGGGAAUUUAGAACUUGGAAUAGCUCCCAUGAUAGCAAUCAUAUAA
This 3772-nucleotide long non-coding RNA is filed under the name Helianthus annuus (common sunflower). RNAcentral's name for it is "hypothetical non coding rna". Lineage: Eukaryota; Viridiplantae; Streptophyta; Magnoliopsida; Asterales; Asteraceae. The record is from RNAcentral.